GUGGUUCAGUUGUGAGUGCAUGGU
This 24-nucleotide non-coding RNA is filed under the name Arabidopsis thaliana (thale cress). Lineage: Eukaryota; Viridiplantae; Streptophyta; Magnoliopsida; Brassicales; Brassicaceae. The record is from RNAcentral.